RNAcentral lists this ribosomal RNA (441 nucleotides) under uncultured bacterium. Its description in RNAcentral is "bacterial SSU rRNA". It matches the Rfam family "Bacterial small subunit ribosomal RNA", at positions 958 to 1399 of the family's 1533-position model. The record is from RNAcentral.
AACGCGAAGAACCUUACCUGGGCUCGAAAUGUAGUGGACCGGAGAUGAAAGUUUCUUUCCCCGCAAGGGGCCGCUAUAUAGGUGCUGCAUGGCUGUCGUCAGCUCGUGUCGUGAGAUGUUGGGUUAAGUCCCGCAACGAGCGCAACCCUUAUCCCCAGUUGCCAUCAUUUAGUUGGGCACUCUGGUGAAACUGCCUGGGAUAACCAGGAGGAAGGUGGGGAUGACGUCAAGUCCUCAUGGCCUUUAUGUCCAGGGCUACACACGUGCUACAAUGGCCGGUACAAACCGCCGCAAACCCGCGAGGGGGAGCUAAUCGGAAAAAGCCGGCCUCAGUUCGGAUUGGAGUCUGCAACUCGACUCCAUGAAGCUGGAAUCGCUAGUAAUCGCGGAUCAGAACGCCGCGGUGAAUACGUUCCCGGGCCUUGUACACACCGCUCGCGA